This 395-nucleotide ribosomal RNA is filed under the name uncultured bacterium. Its description in RNAcentral is "partial 16S ribosomal RNA". It matches the Rfam family "Bacterial small subunit ribosomal RNA", at positions 338 to 730 of the family's 1533-position model. The record is from RNAcentral.
CCUACGGGCGGCAGCAGUGAGGAAUAUUGGUCAAUGGACGGUAGUCUGAACCAGCCAUGUCGCGUGCAGGAAGACGGCCCUAUGAGUUGUAAACUUCUUUUGUAUGAGGGUAAAGCUGAAUAUGUAUAUUCCCCUGAAUGUACCUUAUGAAUAAGGAUCGGCUAACUCCGUGCCAGCAGCCGCGGUAAUACGGAGGAUCCAAGCGUUAUCCGGGUUUAUUGGGUUUAAAGGGUGCGUAGGCGGGUUUUUAAGUUAAGGGGUAAAUGUCCGGGCUUAAAUCCGGACCUGCCUUUAAGACUGGCGGUCUCGAGUGGGGGUGAGGUAUGCGGAAUGCGUGGUGUAGCGGUGAAAUGCAUAGAGAUCAUGCAGAACUCCGAUUGCGAAGGCAGCAUACC